GCCUACGGGAGGCAGCAGUGAGGAAUAUUGCGCAAUGGGGGAAACCCUGACGCAGCAACGCCGCGUGGGUGAAGAAGGCCUUCGGGUCGUAAAGCCCUUUCGGACGGGACGAACGCUUUGCGGCGACAAACCGCGAAGCUUGACGGUACCGUAGGAAGAAGCACCGGCUAACUCCGUGCCAGCAGCCGCGGUAA
RNAcentral lists this ribosomal RNA (194 nucleotides) under uncultured bacterium. RNAcentral describes it as "partial 16S ribosomal RNA". It matches the Rfam family "Bacterial small subunit ribosomal RNA", at positions 337 to 523 of the family's 1533-position model. The record is from RNAcentral.